AUAUAAAGUUUACAGUGAACUAGUAAACCCCAUCUGAUNUUGAAAGCUAAGCAGAAUCAAGCCUGGUUACNAUUUGGAUGGGAGNCCACCCNGAAAUAUCAGGCAAUAUA
This 110-nucleotide ribosomal RNA is filed under the name Salvator merianae (Argentine black and white tegu). The record is from RNAcentral. Lineage: Eukaryota; Metazoa; Chordata; Lepidosauria; Squamata; Teiidae.